AUGAACGCUGGCGGCGUGCCUCAUACAUGCCAGUCGAGCGCACAGACGAGGAGCUUGCUCCUCUGACGUUAGCGGCGGACGGGUGAGUAACACGUGGAUAACCUACCUAUAAGACUGGGAUAACUUCGGGAAACCGGAGCUAAUACCGGAUAAUAUAUUGAACCGCAUGGUUCAAUAGUGAAAGACGGUUUUGCUGUCACUUAUAGAUGGAUCCGCGCCGCAUUAGCUAGUUGUAAGGUAACGGCUUACCAAGGCAACGAUGCGUAGCCGACCUGAGAGGGUGAUCGGCCACACUGGAACUGAGACACGGUCCAGACUCCUACGGGAGGCAGCAGUAGGGAAUCUUCCGCAAUGGGCGAAAGCCUGACGGAGCAACGCCGCGUGAGUGAUGAAGGUCUUCGGAUCGUAAAACUCUGUUAUUAGGGAAGAACAAAUGUGUAAGUAACUAUGCACGUCUUGACGGUACCUAAUCAGAAAGCCACGGCUAACUACGUG
Molecule: ribosomal RNA, 495 nt
Filed under: uncultured bacterium
Lineage: Bacteria
Description: partial 16S ribosomal RNA
Rfam family: Bacterial small subunit ribosomal RNA
Source: RNAcentral